RNAcentral lists this ribosomal RNA (465 nucleotides) under uncultured bacterium. RNAcentral's name for it is "partial 16S ribosomal RNA". It matches the Rfam family "Bacterial small subunit ribosomal RNA", at positions 338 to 795 of the family's 1533-position model. The record is from RNAcentral.
CCUACGGGUGGCAGCAGUGGGGAAUAUUGCGCAAUGGGCGAAAGCCUGACGCAGCGACGCCGCGUGAGGGAUGAAGGUCUUCGGAUCGUAAACCUCUGUCAGCAGGGAAGAACGGUCACUGUGCUAAUCAGCAGUGAAUUGACGGUACCUGCAAAGGAAGCACCGGCUAACUCCGUGCCAGCAGCCGCGGUAAUACGGAGGGUGCGAGCGUUAAUCGGAAUUACUGGGCGUAAAGCGCUCGUAGGCGGUAUGUCAAGUCAAGGGUGAAAUCACCGCGCUCACCGUGGGAACUGCCUUUGAAACUGGCAACAUGGAGUGUGUGAGAGGAUAGUGGAAUUCCAGGUGUAGGAGUGAAAUCCGUAGAUAUCUGGAGGAACAUCAGUGGCGAGGGCGACUAGCUGGCCCAUAACUGACGCUGAGGCACGAACGCGUGGGUAUCGAACAGGAUUAGAUACCCCGGUAGUC